UAAGUGUGAAAGAGGUAUUAAAAUAAAGACAACGAGUUAAUAGGCCUUGUACCAGCUAUUUAAUAAAGAGUUCGUAACAGUUCACUCGAUAAAUAUUAAAAUCUCUAACAUUUUGGUGGCUUAAGAAAGGGGGUGGCCAGAUCAGUCACUUUUUGCGGUUGGACCAACUCUACCCCCUUCUCUCCCAAAACUAUGGUUUUUUUAAAGGUAGCAGAACUUGUUUUAAUAAUAUAAACAGAGAUAAUGCGAACAUGAGUAACUAAUGGGGGAGAAUAAACCCCUUUUGCCCAAGGUUUUCAAGGUCCUUCAAAAAAAAGGAGGAAAGGGUGAAUCAGUCCCUAAGAUAAACGGGGGUGUUAAUAGCACAAUCCUUUAAUUCGAUGGUAAUUAAAUUCUAAGAUACAGCAAUUAAUAACCCAGGAAAGAAUUAGAAUAAAUGAGACUGUACUGAAAACUAACACAAGUGGGCAAUAAAAAAGGGAGAAUUAAUAUUAAGGAACUCGGCAAGUUGCACGCGUAAGAUAACGAGAAGCGUGGAGGACAUUAAAAGAGAAGGAAAUUUCAUAAAAUGUCUUUAUAAGAUAUCAGGGAGCCUCGACUGUUUACCAAAAACAUAGUUUUCAGCGAAAUAAACGGAAAAACCGAUAGUAUUGAAAAUGAUGCCUGCCCAAUGAUUGUAUCUGAAAGGAUAAAAGGGGGAACACCUCCAAAAUCUAUAAGGACAAUUAAAUGGCCGCGGUAACUCUGACCGUGAUAAUGUAGCGUAAUCACUAGCCAGUUAAUUGCUGGCCUGUAUGAAUGGCUUAACGAGGGCUCCACUGUCUCAAUAUUAAACCCAGUGAAAUUGGAAUGAUGGUUAAGAUACCAUCUAUGAAUUCUAAGACGAGAAGACCCCAUUGAGCUUUACUAAAUACUUGUAUUGUCUCCUUCUAUCUUUUCUAGUGUAGUCUAAGUGGAAAGAAAAAAUCGACAAAAUGAAAAACCACUCAAGAAAAAGGGAAAAAAGACAAAAAAAGUACAAGUAAGAUGGUUUGGUUGGGGCGACCACCUUCUAAAAAGUAUCGAAGGUGAACAUAUGACAAAAAAGAGAAAAUGUGGAAAGAAGACAAUUUGUUUGACUGUGAGGGCGACAACCCGAACAGACGUCAGGCCCCCAAAGGGGAUAAGGCGGGUCAUAGUGAUCCGUUGGUAUAAAGUGGAAUAGCCAACGAUCAACGAAGAAAAGUUACCAUGGGGAUAACAGCGUAAUAUCGUUUAAGAGUACCUAUCGCUGACGAUGUUUGCGACCUCGAUGUUGAAUUGUGAUAUCCUGGAGGUGUAGCCGCUUCCAAGGGUUGGACUGUUCGUCCAUUAAAAUCAUACAUGAUUUGAGUUCUAGACCGGCGUGAGCCAGGUCGGUUUCUAUCUAGAAUUCAUUUCUUAAAUUCUUUUUAAUUUACUUUCUAGUACGAAAGGAUCGAAUAGUUUUUAUCCUCUGGUGAUUAGAGGGGGGGGAAAAAAACCAACCCUUUUGAGUAGCUACGAUAAAUAAGAAUAAUUGCUGAAAGCAACUCAAGCAAGAAGUCUAUAAAAAAAAUAUUUAAAAACAACGGAAAAAGAUAAUUUCCACAUAGGGAAAAAAAACCCAAUAGAAUGGGAGAAAAACCAUAACUAAAAAUUGUUUAUUUGUCCUAAGAAAACAAUGGAAAA
This 1689-nucleotide ribosomal RNA is filed under the name Polyplacotoma mediterranea. RNAcentral's name for it is "16S ribosomal RNA". It matches the Rfam family "Bacterial large subunit ribosomal RNA", at positions 1060 to 2925 of the family's 2925-position model. Lineage: Eukaryota; Metazoa; Placozoa. The record is from RNAcentral.